UACGUAGGGGGCGAGCGUUGUCCGAAAUUACUGGGCGUAAAGCGCGUGUAGGCGGAUGAGCAAGUCUGCUGUGAAAGCUCCUGGCUUAACCGGGAGUGGUCGGUGGAAACUGCUCGUCUGGAGGACGGUAGAGGUAGGUAGAAUUCCCGGUGUAGUGGUGAAAUGCGUAGAGAUCGGGAGGAAUACCUGUGGCGAAGGCGGCCUACUGGGCCGGACCUGACGCUGAGACGCGAAGGCGUGGGGAGCGAACGGG
RNAcentral lists this ribosomal RNA (253 nucleotides) under uncultured bacterium. RNAcentral describes it as "partial 16S ribosomal RNA". It matches the Rfam family "Bacterial small subunit ribosomal RNA", at positions 524 to 776 of the family's 1533-position model. The record is from RNAcentral.